UCGUGGUCACAAGGUCUUCGG
This 21-nucleotide small nuclear RNA is filed under the name Arabidopsis thaliana (thale cress). RNAcentral's name for it is "snRNA_12366". Lineage: Eukaryota; Viridiplantae; Streptophyta; Magnoliopsida; Brassicales; Brassicaceae. The record is from RNAcentral.